Bactrocera neohumeralis is the source of this 169-nucleotide long non-coding RNA. RefSeq lists it as uncharacterized. The transcript has 2 exons. The record is from RefSeq and is a predicted model, not a curated record. NCBI's taxonomy places the organism in Eukaryota, Metazoa, Arthropoda, Insecta, Diptera, Tephritidae.
GCGUUAUUAUUAUUAUUAUUGUAAUUGUUGUUGUAAUUAUAGUAAGCAGGCCGCCUUGUCGGGUAGACUUGUGGCGUGUAUGGAUAGAGACCCGAUGGAGUAGAAGGACAACAGAAAGUGUCGAAUGAAAAUUGAUUAUUUGAGAAUAUUGAAAGAGAGCGAAGCAAAA